Molecule: ribosomal RNA, 225 nt
Filed under: Triticum aestivum (bread wheat)
Lineage: Eukaryota; Viridiplantae; Streptophyta; Magnoliopsida; Poales; Poaceae
Description: partial small subunit ribosomal RNA
Source: RNAcentral
AUGAGUUGUUUAAGUUGGAAUUGCCGGGGGCUUGGGAACCCUGAGGCAGUUCGAGAACUGCGCAGGAUUGUGCGGCAGGAAGUUCCCGCCCUACUGUUUGUCAUGGAAACCAAAACUAGGGUUGUAAGAGUUGAAGCACUGCAGAGACAGCUGGGCUUUGUAGGAUGUUUUGCGAUUGAUAGUAAUGGACUAAGUGGUGGCAUCGGCCUUUUCUGGUCGAGUGAU